AAGGAUCAUUACCGAAUUGUCAACACGAGUUGUUGCUGGUCCUCAAACGGGGGCACGUGCACGCUCUGUUUACACAUCCACUCACACCUGUGCACCCUCUGUAGUUCUAUGGCUCUCGGGGGACUCUGUCCUCUUGUCGUGGUUCUACAUCUUUACACAAACACUGUAAUAAAGUCUCAUGGAAUGUAUGCCGCGUUUAACGCAAUACAAUACAACUUUCAGCAACGGAUCUCUUGGCUCUC
This 242-nucleotide unclassified non-coding RNA is filed under the name uncultured fungus. Its description in RNAcentral is "partial contains 18S rRNA, ITS1, 5.8S rRNA, ITS2 and 28S rRNA". Lineage: Eukaryota; Fungi. The record is from RNAcentral.